Molecule: long non-coding RNA, 381 nt
Filed under: Cottoperca gobio
Lineage: Eukaryota; Metazoa; Chordata; Actinopteri; Perciformes; Bovichtidae
Description: lncRNA (ENSCGOG00000018656.1)
Source: RNAcentral
GAUGUGUGAAGGUGCGGUACUGAUGCUGCUGGCGAACAAGCUGGACCUGGCAGACAGUCGCAGCAGAGAAGUGACAACAGACCAGGGGCAGAGACUAGCAGAGCAGCACCAAGCUAUGUUUUACGAGUGCAGUGCUAAAAGUGGAUGUAACAUGGAGCUGCUGAUGACUCAUCUGGCUGGGAUGUUAAUCUCCCAGCAUGAUCGACAAUGUGAAGAUGCAGUUUUACUGACUGAGGACGUGACUAAAAGAGGCUGCUGUACAUAAACACAACACUAAAAACUCCCAGGCCCAAAUCCUGUGGUCACAUAAAUCAUGGCAAGACACAAACGGUGACAUUUGAACAAGUUUGCUGAACAGUAUCUGUAAUGAUUGUUUAUUAU